GCUUAUGCAACACAUCCGUCUCUCGAAAGCACCUCUCGCAACGCCUUCGAAAAAUUGCAGAGUUACGUUUUUUAGAAGAUGAGGACCUCUGCAAUAACCAAAUCUCAAAUUAACGAAGCUUUGGAACAACAUUGUGCAAACCUGCGAAGGGUAACAAUCUGCAAAGAGUCCAUCUUUCAUGAUCAGUGUCAUGUUGGCAGUACUCCAGUUCAACCUGGAAAACGAACACACAGAAUCAUAGUAAACCUCGUUUUACCUCGAGCAAACAAACCAGCACCCCAUCUUAAGAGUGCUCCACCGGGAAAGAAGAGCAUCUCGCCCGCGAUCUGACGAAGCCGAGCGUGGUAUUCCCCGAGGAAUCCACCG
This 366-nucleotide long non-coding RNA is filed under the name Selaginella moellendorffii. Its description in RNAcentral is "long non-coding RNA (SMOE_LNC001296)". The record is from RNAcentral. Lineage: Eukaryota; Viridiplantae; Streptophyta; Lycopodiopsida; Selaginellales; Selaginellaceae.